RNAcentral lists this ribosomal RNA (403 nucleotides) under Verrucomicrobiota bacterium. RNAcentral's name for it is "Verrucomicrobia bacterium partial 16S ribosomal RNA". It matches the Rfam family "Bacterial small subunit ribosomal RNA", at positions 355 to 776 of the family's 1533-position model. The record is from RNAcentral. Lineage: Bacteria; Pseudomonadati; Verrucomicrobiota.
UGGGGAAUAUUGCACAAUGGGGGAAACCCUGAUGCAGCGACGCCGCGUGAGCGAAGAAGGCUUUCGAGUCGUAAAGCUCUGUCAUAUGAGAAGAUAAUGACGGUAUCAUAGGAGGAAGCCCUGGCUAAAUACGUGCCAGCAGCCGCGGUAAUACGUAUGGGGCGAGCGUUGUCCGGAAUUAUUGGGCGUAAAGGGUACGUAGGCGGUUUUUUAAGUCAGGUGUCAAAGCGUGGAGCUUAACUCCAUUAAGCACUUGAAACUGAAAGACUUGAGUGAAGGAGAGGAAAGUGGAAUUCCUAGUGUAGCGGUGAAAUGCGUAGAUAUUAGGAGGAAUACCGGUGGCGAAGGCGACUUUCUGGACUUUUACUGACGCUCAGGUACGAAAGCGUGGGGAGCAAACAGG